This 78-nucleotide transfer RNA is filed under the name Patescibacteria group bacterium. Its description in RNAcentral is "tRNA-Asp". It matches the Rfam family "tRNA". From Rfam's summary of the family: Transfer RNA (tRNA) molecules are approximately 80 nucleotides in length. Their secondary structure includes four short double-helical elements and three loops (D, anti-codon, and T loops). Further hydrogen bonds mediate the characteristic L-shaped molecular structure. tRNAs have two regions of fundamental functional importance: the anti-codon, which is responsible for specific mRNA codon recognition, and the 3' end, to which the tRNAs corresponding amino acid is attached (by aminoacyl-tRNA synthetases). tRNAs cope with the degeneracy of the genetic code in two manners: having more than one tRNA (with a specific anti-codon) for a particular amino acid; and 'wobble' base-pairing, i.e. permitting non-standard base-pairing at the 3rd anti-codon position. The record is from RNAcentral.
GGGGCCGUAGCUCAGUUUGGUUAGAGCGCUUCCCUGUCACGGAAGAGGUCGCGGGUUCGAGCCCCGUCGGUCCCGCCA